UCAACCUCAGCGUUUCAUCCAAGGUUUUCAAACAACACCUACGUUUCAUCCAAGGUUUUCAAAAUGGAAAAAAUCAAUGACGAUGAUGUGUUAGCUUCUGUUUUUUCCAAAAAGAACAAAAGGGUUUCUCUCAGGGAUCAAAAUGUCACUAACAUUUGAGUUAUAAUAUUUUAUAUUUGGAUUUAUAAUAUCAUGAACUUGGAGUUAUAAGAUUAUGUAUUUGCUCUUAUACUAAACGUUGGAUAUAUAAUAAUAUGUAUCUGGAUUGAUAUUUUAAUGUGGAAUUUUUUUACAAAGUAUUUGGUGUUUUAUUAAUAUGUAAUUGGAAUUAUAAUAAGGUAUAAUUGAAGCUUUAUUUUUGUUUCGAAGUUAUAAUAUUUUUUUUUGGAUAUUAUCAAUGGUACCCUUGUACUAUAGCAAAAUAUCAAUGGAAUCGUAGUUAAUUUCAAUGGUACCCCCCCCAAGUAUAUGCUAAUUUCAAGGAAGACUUAGGGAGGAGUGGAGGAAACACCUGGUACUUUCUGCAUAUUCGGGUUGAUUAUUGUCGGGCUUGAGAUGAAGCAGCCAUGGAAGGAGAGCAGGAAGAGGAAAGGGAAAAGGGAAGAAGAAGAAACUAACCAUGGUUAGGUCAAAUUCAAGAUUUAACAGGCAUUUAACGGAAAAAUGAUUAAUAGUGUCACGCUUGUAAUUAGCAUAUACUUGGGGGGGUACCAUUGAAAUUAACUGGGGUACCAUUGAUAUUUUGAUAUAGUGCAAGGAUAACAUUGAUAAUAUCCCUUUUUUUUGUUAUAUUUUGGAUUGUAACAUUAUUUGUUUGGAUAUAUAACAUUAUUAAAUUGCGUUUUCUUCCCAGGAUAAGAACAUAUAUACCAACUGCAAACCCCAUUUAUUUCUAAUAAAUCGUAAAGAACAACUGAAGCUAACUGCCAAGCAAGUUGAUGACGUUAAUGAUAUUGGCUUUGGACACAUUCUGAGAAUCAAGCCUUUUAGGUUUCCCGCUGGCAUAAUUCCUUUUCUCAUUUCCCACUUUGAUGCAGUCAGUCGCAUCUAGUGUAUGCCGAAUUAACAUAACUACAUUAUCAUGGCUGAUGACGUUUAUGAAAUUUUUGGGUUGUCGUUGAACCCUUCUAAAUGACUAAUUACUCGAUCUAAGAGAGUGGAUAACGAUGUUGAUACAUGGCUAGGGAAGGUUGACUUCUCUAAGCCUGAGACCGUCAAGGCAAAGGAGGUUCUUGCUAUGUUUAACAGGUUUCCCGAAGGCGAGGAUGAUUUUAAAAAACAAUUUGUUUUGAACUCAUUGACUAUUUUGUUGGCCCCCCUCCCAAACUUUAAAUUGAAGAAGUCGAUGUAGCCUUGCAUUGCUGAUGCUUCAGCAAUCAAGAAAUUUGAUUGGUGUUCUUUUAUUUUGGACAAUUUAUGUUAAGUUGUUUAAUCAAGCAAGUUUGUCAAUAGCUGUAUUUUGAUAUUGUUUGUCUGCUAUUGUUAUCGGUUCCCUCACCAAGGGAAACUAUGCCCCAACUCCCUCCCGUUAAUCAAGCACAUGCUUGAAGACCAUCUCAAACACAGGUUUGACCAGGAGAGGUUGAAGGGGUUUGGAAGAGGUACUUUUGUGUCGCAGGGAUUGACUGGUGUAGAACAGGUGAUGAUGCUUUCGAGGAAGAUGUUAACGAGGUUGAAAAAGAUCAACCUGAUGGUGAACCAACUAACUUGUUUGAUGAUCCUUUAUUUGAAACCAACGAGCCAGUUCAUGUGGAUCAUCAAACACAUGAUAAGUCUUUCACUUACACUUUUGAUACGCGAUGGGAGAUGGAUUUGGAACUUGCUUGCAAAGGCUACAAUAGAUUGUGUGCAGGUCGAUAUCCGGUCGUGAUUAUGAUCGUUGAUAGUACCUAUGACUUGGUUCAUGGAAAUGUACGUGUCAAAAGGAUCCGAAAGAUGUUAGAAGAAGUAUAUCGGUUGGGAUGAAAAAUGGAGACAGCAGGUCUACUGUUGUCAAGUUGGAUGUUCUAACAAAACUGGAAAUUGGAAACAGCGCACUGUUCCUGAACUUAAGUCAAGCUACGUUAACUGGAAAUUCAGGACCUCGAUUCAUAAGAGGGCGAAAUUCUUAUCGUGCUUAAACGUUGUUUGGUUACAGCGCUUAAAGGUACACGCUUAGACCAUACUGUUUAUGUGGUUGUGCAAGUACUGUUGUUUCAUUUCUAAUCGAGGCUUUGUAAAUCACAUAAGGAUUAGACACCUCAAAUAAUUUGAAAGAUAUUAAUUGGAAGCUUAGAAUUUAUGUGUAUGUCACCCAAAGGGGUUGACGUUUGGUUAUGUUACCCAAAGGGGUUAACAAUUGGUUUGGAUUAUUAUAAUUAUUGUUCCCAUGGCAGUUUUGGAUUAUUACGGUCACCAUGGGGGUAUGCGUACUUUAGCCUUUGGCGACCCAAACAGGACGGGCAACGUCUUAGGUCGGUGGUUGCCUUGGGAUUAGCUCUCCCAAGUGUAUUCCUCCAAAAACAUUUGAAUUUAUACUUGAACGACCCAAGCAGGACGGGCAACGUUACAAGUUGGAAUUAUCUAAUGAUGAAUGGUUUGUACUUGAACGACCCGAACAGGACGGGCAACGUUACAAGUUGGGUUUCAUUAAUAAUAAAUGUAUUAGAGCCUAUGCAUGCUAGGAUGAACAAUUUACUUGUUUUCAAUCUGAUUGAUAAUUGUAUGAUAUCUCUGACGUGUAUUGGUUUGUUUCUUUCGAACCUACUAUGUGUUGUCCUACGACGACUAGUAGGUUGAUUGCAGGUGGGGUCCAGAGUGAGAUCUUGACGUAGAACCCGUAAUAAGCAAGACUUUGUAUUAUCUUUUAUAUUAGAUUAUGAAUAGACAGAAUCUAUGUAAUUAAUGUAACAAAAGAGAUAGUUUAUUUUCGUUUCCGCUAUUUCGAUUAGUUGUUUAGAGGCCUCUAGGCUCUCGAGUUGUUCGUUAGAGUUCCGCUGACUUAUUAUUUUUCACAUUGGUCUUGUUUUCUGUUUAUCUAUAUUUCUUUAUCGACGAAACGUUGACGGUCCUAGAGAAAAGUCUUCUCUAGAGUCUAAAAAGGUGAACCAGAAUUUUUAUUUUCAUAUGGAUUUUCGGGUCACUUAAAUCGGACUGUUACAAUUGGUAUCAGGGCCAACGUUCCUCAGAUGAUAAAGGAAUAAACGACCUAAUAGAGAGUUGGGAAAUAGACCUUAGGACGUAAUUUUGUUGUAUAUUGUUUGUGUUGUUGUGAUAGUAAUGUUUUGUUUGUACUUCCGUGUAGAAUCAGGAUAUAUGGAUAAGGGAAAAACACCCAUGCACUCACACACCCCCAGGAAGACUAGCGAAGUAUCGAUGUUUGACCCAGAGACUGCCUGGAGAGAAGUCUCCAAUGCUGAUAUAUGGAGAAUAAGGAAUGGUGAAAGUAUCCGAGAUUAUAGGGAGAGGAUGCGAAUGGUUAAGGCAAAGGCUGAUAGGGUAUGCUAUGAUUUAGAUUUAGACUUAAAUGAAUUACAUCGUUUGUCCGAAUCUAGGAAAAAUGUAGAACCGGGGAAAGAGGGCGAGCCCCACAUAUCAGACGACGCUGAUGUGGUCUUGGAACAGUUGAAGGAGCAGGACCUACCCGACCUUCCACUCGUGGAAACCGAGGUUCAGUUGUAGAGUGAUGUCAAAAUGUGGGAGCCUAAGCGGGAACCACCUACUUAUGUAGAAAUUUCCAGUGAUGAUGAGGGUGACAAUUGGGGGUCGCACUAUGACCUAUAUGGCUAUGGGACUGGGCUUGAUGGGGUUUGCUCAGAUGAAGAGGAUCCCGAAGAAGACGUGGAGGAGGUACCAAUAAACCACCCUAGAGAUAGUGACAGUGAAUCAGGAGAAGCACACUCGAACUCCAGCUCUGAUUCUGGGGAAGAUGCAGAUGAUGAGGAUUUUGACUUAGCUAGCUAUGAAGAGAGUGCUGACACUUGGGACGCUUGGCGCUAAAAUGUUUUCCCUUUAGUUAUAUCUUUCGAGCUAUUAUCAUAUGAAUAUGUAAAAGUU
This is a long non-coding RNA of Amaranthus tricolor (Joseph's coat), 4035 nucleotides long. RefSeq lists it as uncharacterized. The transcript is spliced from 5 exons. NCBI's taxonomy places the organism in Eukaryota, Viridiplantae, Streptophyta, Magnoliopsida, Caryophyllales, Amaranthaceae. The record is from RefSeq and is a predicted model, not a curated record.